UACGUAGGGCGCAAGCGUUGUCCGGAAUUAUUGGGCGUAAAGAGCUCGUAGGCGGCCUGUUGCGUCCGCUGUGAAAUCCCGGGGCUUAACCCCGGGUCUGCAGUGGAUACGGGCUGGCUAGAGGCAGGCAGGGGAGAACGGAAUUCCCGGUGUAGCGGUGAAAUGCGCAGAUAUCGGGAGGAACACCGGUGGCGAAGGCGGUUCUCUGGGCCUGUUCUGACGCUGAGGAGCGAAAGCGUGGGGAGCAAACAGG
This 253-nucleotide ribosomal RNA is filed under the name uncultured bacterium. Its description in RNAcentral is "partial 16S ribosomal RNA". It matches the Rfam family "Bacterial small subunit ribosomal RNA", at positions 524 to 776 of the family's 1533-position model. The record is from RNAcentral.